This 307-nucleotide long non-coding RNA is filed under the name Gallus gallus (chicken). RNAcentral's name for it is "long non-coding RNA NONGGAT005714". The record is from RNAcentral. Lineage: Eukaryota; Metazoa; Chordata; Aves; Galliformes; Phasianidae.
UUCACAACUGCAAGGCAUAUAUGAAGCCAGAAAUUGAUAUAUUAAGGGAAGACAGAACACCUUAAGAACAAGGGUAUACUAGACUCCACAGACUCAACAGGCAUUCACCAAUGCAGUCAUCGUAUCACCACUUUCAAAUUUACAUAAAGAACACUACUGCAGAAGAACACUUGUAAUGCCACGCACCACGUGUGGAGGAUCAUUCUCUUUUACGGUCACUGAGUACAGCUUCUGGGAGAGCACAGGUGAGUUGUCAUUUACAUCUUCUACAGCAAUGCUUAGAGCUAGGCUUGCAGAUAGUGGUGGU